RNAcentral lists this ribosomal RNA (1420 nucleotides) under uncultured bacterium. RNAcentral describes it as "bacterial SSU rRNA". It matches the Rfam family "Bacterial small subunit ribosomal RNA". The record is from RNAcentral.
AGAGUUUGAUCCUGGCUCAGGACGAACGCUGGCGGCGUGCCUAAUACAUGCAAGUCGAACGCUUCUUUUUCCACCGGAGCUUGCUCCACCGGAAAAAGAGGAGUGGCGAACGGGUGAGUAACACGUGGGUAACCUGCCCAUCAGAAGGGGAUAACACUUGGAAACAGGUGCUAAUACCGUAUAACAAUCGAAACCGCAUGGUUUUGAUUUGAAAGGCGCUUUCGGGUGUCGCUGAUGGAUGGACCCGCGGUGCAUUAGCUAGUUGGUGAGGUAACGGCUCACCAAGGCGACGAUGCAUAGCCGACCUGAGAGGGUGAUCGGCCACAUUGGGACUGAGACACGGCCCAAACUCCUACGGGAGGCAGCAGUAGGGAAUCUUCGGCAAUGGACGAAAGUCUGACCGAGCAACGCCGCGUGAGUGAAGAAGGUUUUCGGAUCGUAAAACUCUGUUGUUAGAGAAGAACAAGGAUGAGAGUAACUGUUCAUCCCUUGACGGUAUCUAACCAGAAAGCCACGGCUAACUACGUGCCAGCAGCCGCGGUAAUACGUAGGUGGCAAGCGUUGUCCGGAUUUAUUGGGCGUAAAGCGAGCGCAGGCGGUUUCUUAAGUCUGAUGUGAAAGCCCCCGGCUCAACCGGGGAGGGUCAUUGGAAACUGGGAGACUUGAGUGCAGAAGAGGAGAGUGGAAUUCCAUGUGUAGCGGUGAAAUGCGUAGAUAUAUGGAGGAACACCAGUGGCGAAGGCGGCUCUCUGGUCUGUAACUGACGCUGAGGCUCGAAAGCGUGGGGAGCAAACAGGAUUAGAUACCCUGGUAGUCCACGCCGUAAACGAUAAGUGCUAAGUGUUGGAGGGUUUCCGCCCUUCAGUGCUGCAGCUAACGCAUUAAGCACUCCGCCUGGGGAGUACGACCGCAAGGUUGAAACUCAAAGGAAUCGACGGGGGCCCGCACAAGCGGUGGAGCAUGUGGUUUAAUUCGAAGCAACGCGAAGAACCUUACCAGGUCUUGACAUCCUUUGACCACUCUAGAGAUAGAGCUUCCCCUUCGGGGGCAAAGUGACAGGUGGUGCAUGGUUGUCGUCAGCUCGUGUCGUGAGAUGUUGGGUUAAGUCCCGCAACGAGCGCAACCCUUAUUGUUAGUUGCCAUCAUUUAGUUGGGCACUCUAGCAAGACUGCCGGUGACAAACCGGAGGAAGGUGGGGAUGACGUCAAAUCAUCAUGCCCCUUAUGACCUGGGCUACACACGUGCUACAAUGGGAAGUACAACGAGUCGCAAAGUCGCGAGGCUAAGCUAAUCUCUUAAAGCUUCUCUCAGUUCGGAUUGUAGGCUGCAACUCGCCUACAUGAAGCCGGAAUCGCUAGUAAUCGCGGAUCAGCACGCCGCGGUGAAUACGUUCCCGGGCCUUGCACACAACGCCCGUCAA